AAAUUGUGUAUUUGUACAGUGCUCUGUAAUUUGAGAAACUAAUUUUGAGAUCUAAAGAGAAAGAGAAGUGGAGGCGAUGCUGCUGACAACUGAAAAAUGGAUCUGUAGGGUUUCAUUAAGUUGGAUUUUUAAAAUCAAGGCCCAACCCACACUCUUUUUCUUUUCUUUUUUGAAUAAAAAUAGUAUUAUUUUAUUUGUUAU
This 201-nucleotide long non-coding RNA is filed under the name Trifolium pratense (red clover). RNAcentral describes it as "long non-coding RNA (TPRA_LNC012004)". The record is from RNAcentral. Lineage: Eukaryota; Viridiplantae; Streptophyta; Magnoliopsida; Fabales; Fabaceae.